This is a long non-coding RNA of Zosterops lateralis melanops, 1963 nucleotides long. Lineage: Eukaryota; Metazoa; Chordata; Aves; Passeriformes; Zosteropidae. The record is from Ensembl.
UUAAACAAAUUCUUUCAUUUUGUUUAGUUUUUCUAGUAAAGUUCUAGUCCCAGGGAGAAAUUGAGUAUGAAUUUUUUUUUUCUUGAACAGGAGAGUCAUAUAUGUGAAAGAAGUGGAAAUCUUAGGCCAUUUAACARCAGAGUGGGAUUACUUAUUUGAAGAAUUUACACGCUAUCCCUCCUAUGAAGGAAAUAUUUUAAAAAUCAGUGUUUUGCAGGAUCAAAAGAUGUUCCAAAGAAGGGACAGUACAGGUCAUGAAUGYGUAAAGACAGUUCAGCUUCGGGACGAAGCUACAGCAAGGAGGGUUUGUUGUGCCAUUCAGGAAGCCCAGACAACACGAAAACAAGAGAAGCUGGUGAAGAGAGCUUCCUCACAGCUGAGGAAACCUUAAAUACUCUCUUGAUAAUGACAGGAUUUGUCAUGUUUGAUGUUUGGUAUGCAAUUUUCUCCCUAAAAUUGAUUAGAAGCAACAUGGAAAUAUUGGGCAAAAAGUAAAGAUAAAAUAUCUGAGGUCUUCUUUCAAAGUUAACAGCCAUUAACACUAGUUUUAGAAGUUAUGCCUCUAUUGGAAACAAUGGAUUUCUAAAAUAUGCAUUUCAGUUUAAAAAUUACAAUUUUUGAUAAAAUGUUUUCCCACUCUGAAAUUUUAUUUUCUGCCUUCUUUAAUGUCAGAGAUUCUAAAAUGAAGUGGGUAUCUUAUUUGCACUCUAAGGGUAUGGUUUACAGACUGGUGGUGGUAAUAAUUGUGGUUCUGGUGUUUUUCCAGAUGAAGUACUUCGGUUUGUGAUUGAAACAAAUGACRAACUCUGUUUUAGACAACAUUCUCCUUAAAUUACUGUACACAAUUUAGCUUAUAUAAUUUCAUCUCUGAGCAUUUAGUAUUAGAAGAGACUGCAUUGAAGCAAUGUAAGAAUUGAGUAUAUAUGAAAGAAAUAGGCUGUAUGGUAGAAAUUGUCUAGAAAUGUUUACUUUGGAAUGUUGUCACACUGUAAAUGAAAAUCUGCACUUUAAAAAUGGAAAAUAUUAUUCACCUGUCAAAUGGUUUUGAUUGUGUCACUGUAGCCUAAAGAAUUCUCCAGGAGGAACAGCACACUGGGUUUAACAUUGUGUGUCAAAACCUGAAAUYUAAGAAAUUAGCUCUCCAUAUUUCGCAGUAUAGUUACUCCAUUGGAAGAAUGUCAUCUCAUUAAGGUAAAACUCACUUUUGAAGCAACGUUUCUGUUGCAGUUUCUCUUCCUGAAGGCUGUUGGCAUUCAGUUUACCACAACAUUUAAACACUUAAGUGUGUGCCUGGUGUGAAUAACCCCAUGAACUUCCUUGAGACAAAUUCCAUUAACACAAGGCACAUCCAUAGGUGACUGAGUCAAGGACUAGAUGAGUGAACAGAUUUGAGUUCAGUGAUCAGUGAACUGGGAGCCUUUGCUCUUAGUCUUUGGAUAUCAUUUAAGAAAAUCAGGGUCCUUGUGAAAACUCAUCAAAAUUUGACCUUACCAAUUUCCUUUUCUUGCAGAGAAUAAUUUCUAUUUCUUACUUCUAUUUUGUAGUUGAUAAUAGCUGUAGAUACAAACUUGAUGAACCAAAAUGACAAUAUUUUUCUACAUAUCCGUACAGUGCACCAGGCCUGGAUUUUUAAACUCUACACUUAAGGGCUGAUGCAUUGUAUAAAUGCACUUUUMACCUGUACCUAUGAGCUCACCAAAGUUAGAAAGCUUAAGACAUAUGAAAGUAAGCUGCCAAACACAGAACUUGCAGAGAGCAUUGCACACAUGAUUUUAUUCUUGUUAUAUGAACAUGGCUAUUAAUCCACUUUGUUACAUGGGAAAAAAUGCGGUACAGCCUUUAAUUCUGUGCUAUCACCUAUUUUCUAGAAAGCUGUGCACAAGCAACAAAUAAAUUAGCUGUCCAGGUUGUAUGUAUAUCAAGUUUAUGUUUUUAAAAAAAUGACAAUAAAUUUUUAUAUGCA